AUACGGAAGGUCCAGGCGUUAUCCGGAUUUAUUGGGUUUAAAGGGAGCGUAGGCCGUCUGUUAAGCGUGUUGUGAAAUGUAGAUGCUCAACAUCUGAAUUGCAGCGCGAACUGGCAGACUUGAGUGUGCGCAACGUAGGCGGAAUUCGUGGUGUAGCGGUGAAAUGCAUAGAUAUCACGCAGAACCCCGAUCGCGAAGGCAGCCUGCCAGGCCGUGACUGACACUGAUGCACGAAAGCGUGGGUAUC
This 247-nucleotide ribosomal RNA is filed under the name uncultured bacterium. RNAcentral's name for it is "partial 16S ribosomal RNA". It matches the Rfam family "Bacterial small subunit ribosomal RNA", at positions 523 to 769 of the family's 1533-position model. The record is from RNAcentral.